UAUCCGGACGCCUGCGAUGUUUCAAUCGAAGACGACUACAUGUGAGGACUUUUUUUAUUCUUUUAAAGACUAAUCGUAACUAACAUUUUCUUUUAUUUCAGCGAGCUUCGGUACAACAACGGCAGCAAGGGAUGCACUGUGGAUCUUCUCAGCAAAAACGCGUCGAACAACAGCACGAUCAAGUUCACGACCGGAGUGCGAAACAUAAAAGGAGGACUCAGCAAAUGCCUUGAUGUUGGUCAUAAACUCGACGGAAGCUAUAACAACACGUGAGUUUUUACUUCCUUAUUCUAUUUGGCAGCUAAUUUAUGUUCCUUAACAGGAUUCUUAACAGGCAUUGCAAGUUUACUUUGAACAAAUCAGAGUGCUUCAAACAGGCGUUUUCGCUUGAAUGAUCGUGCAUGGAAUAAUAGAAAACGAUUUUGGUUCAGUUUUAUUGGUUUUACGGACUGAGAUUUGUAUGGCCCCGUGAGAGGUGAAAUUCUUGGACCGUGGCCAGACAAACUACAGCGAAAGCAUUUGCCAAGAAUGUCUUCAUUAAUCAAGAACGAAAGUCAGAGGUUCGAAGGCGAUCAGAUACCGCCCUAGUUCUGACCGUAAACGAUGCCAACUAGCGAUCCGCCGAUGGAAAUUAUAUUGCCUUGGUGGGGAGCUUCCCGGAAACGAAAGUCUUCCGGUUCCGGGGGAAGUAUGGUUGCAAAGCUGAAACUUAAAGGAAUUGACGGAAGGGCACCACCAGGAGUGGAGCCUGCGGCUUAAUUUGACUCAACACGGGGAAACUCACCCGGCCCGGAUACUGUGAGGAUUGACAGAUUGAUAGCUUUUUCAUGAUUCAGUGGAUGGUGGUGCAUGGCCGUUCUUAGUUCGUGGAGUGAUUUGUCUGGUUUAUUCCGAUAACGAGCGAGACUCUAACCUACUAAAUAGCUGGUACAUACUCUUAGUGUAUACAGCUUCUUAGAGGGAUUUGCGGUGUUCAGCCGAAAGAAAUUGAGCAAUAACAGGUCUGUGAUGCCCUUAGAUGUCCGGGGCUGCACGCGCGCUACACUGGCAAAAUCAACGUGCUUGUCCUACCCCGAAAGGGGCGGGUAAACCAUUGAAAAUUUGCCGUGAUUGGGAUCGGAAAUUGCAAUUAUUUUCCGUGAACGAGGAAUUCCAAGUAAGUGCGAGUCAUCAGCUCGCGUUGAUUACGUCCCUGCCCUUUGUACACACCGCCCGUCGCUGCCCGGGACUGAGCCAUUUCGAGAAAUUUGGGGACCGUUGAUUUAAUUUUUCUAAAUUACUUUGAUGGAAACCAAUUUAAUCGCAGUGGCUUGAACCGGGCAAAAGUCGUAACAAGGUAGCUGUAGGUGAACCUGCUGCUG
RNAcentral lists this ribosomal RNA (1361 nucleotides) under Meloidogyne incognita (southern root-knot nematode). RNAcentral describes it as "SSU rRNA". It matches the Rfam family "Eukaryotic small subunit ribosomal RNA", at positions 638 to 1823 of the family's 1831-position model. The record is from RNAcentral. Lineage: Eukaryota; Metazoa; Nematoda; Chromadorea; Rhabditida; Meloidogynidae.